Molecule: long non-coding RNA, 966 nt
Organism: Olea europaea var. sylvestris
Lineage: Eukaryota; Viridiplantae; Streptophyta; Magnoliopsida; Lamiales; Oleaceae
Exons: 2
Source: RefSeq, a predicted model, not a curated record
AAAAUAUCACUGUUCACAUUUUCCGUGUAUCCGAUUCCACUACUGUUCAUCAACAGGUUAUACUUAUCUCGCAAAUAAAGGUACUUAUUACCUUUUCUUGUUUGAAUUUUUCUAUUUGUACAUUUAGUGUACCGACCACGUCACAAGAGGAGGGUCUACGACAAAUAAAUAAAUUGUGGGCCCCCUCUUAUGAAUGUGUCUGUCAACUCCGGUGUAGGACACCGAUGUAUAUGUAGACAAAUUCUUCUUGCUUUGUGUUUUGCUUUUGGAUCUCUAUUUCCAGUCGACUCCGACAUACACUUUGGGGAGGAGGAGACAAUGAAGACAAAGGUCCCAAUUGUUACAAAUAAAAGCAUGUCUUUGUUUACUGGUUUCCCAAUUGAAAACUUGUUGGCUGUGGCCACCUCCACUUCUCCGAAGAGGCUCUUGAUUUCUCAUCCUCCACUCAAAGCACUCCUCGUUAAUCUAUUCGCUUUUGUCUGAAAAAAUUUUCAUCUGUCGUUUGGGUGAUGCUGUUGUUAAUUUCGGAUUCCUUAUUCUAGGAGUUCGGUGACAGAAGAUGGAAAAUCCGAAUGUGCUAUUGUCGAUAGGGAUGAAACUUGAUCAAAGGAGGUUUGUAUAAGAGGAAUUGGUCCCACUGCUCCAAAAUUCAAAAUUUUGAAGCCAUUCGGUGUUAUCCUUAGCUUUGAUGGGAUUGAUGUUGCCAAUGAUGGAACAGGUGAAUGAGACAAAUGUUCUUAUGGCUUGUAGACAGAUAGAUAAAAUAAUCCUUCUACACGAACAGAAGGAUGUUUGCCAAAAACUACGUACAGAAAACUCACAGUUCUAGAACCUACACACAUUUUUGACAUUUUUUAUACAACAUGGGGCCCACGCACUUGUCUCUAUUCUGUACACCGUCUGUGAAAAAUUUUUUGUACACCCAGAUUUUUUCUACAUAAAAUUCUCACAUCCUAUCUCAUUGCC